AUUCUGUGGCGAGUGCCGGCCGAAAGCUAGGUCCGGAUUGCACGUGGAGGGCCGCCCGAAGGGCACUCUCGGACAUUAACCCGCAUUCUGGUGGGUCUAGAGGAAAUUGGGGGACGAAGAGUGUCAGCACUGACCUGGUCUGGGACGUGGGGAGAAGGGUGCGCUACCUGGGUUUCAGGUGGGAGGGCGUUCGGUCGGGCCUCCAGGGGGAUAGCGGGGGUGCUUGAGUCGCGGGUGCUGAGUGAGUUGCGGGUGCUGAGUUGAGGCUGUGCCCUUUCCCACUGUAAUACGCCAAGCGUGCGUUCUGCCGUUCCCUCCGACACGCGCGACGCCACCUUCUCCCAUUUCUGCCUGCCACAGUACCAUGGGGCGCAAGUUGGACCCUACGAAGGAGAAGCGGGGGCCAGGCCGAAAGGCCCGGAAGCAGAAGGGUGCCGAGACAGAACUCGUCAGAUUCUUGCCUGCAGUAAGUGAUGAAAAUUCCAAGAGGCUGUCUAGUCGUGCUCGAAAGAGGGCAGCCAAGAGGAGAUUGGGCUCUGCUGAAGCCCCUAAGAC
This 555-nucleotide small RNA is filed under the name Pan troglodytes (chimpanzee). Its description in RNAcentral is "retained intron". Lineage: Eukaryota; Metazoa; Chordata; Mammalia; Primates; Hominidae. The record is from RNAcentral.